GGUAUUGUGGCCGAGUGGUCUAAGGCGCUCGACUCAAGUUCGAGUCUAGAAAUAGGCGUGGGUUCGAAUCCCACCGAUACCA
Molecule: non-coding RNA, 82 nt
Organism: Coemansia sp. RSA 1250
Lineage: Eukaryota; Fungi; Kickxellomycota; Kickxellomycetes; Kickxellales; Kickxellaceae
Source: the annotation of a GenBank genome assembly